UUUUAAAAAAUUUAAAGAAAAUAUUGAUUUGUGGGGUCAAAAAUAUGAUAGAGAAUCCUUUUAAAUU
RNAcentral lists this transfer RNA (67 nucleotides) under Lamproptera curius. RNAcentral's name for it is "tRNA-His". The record is from RNAcentral. Lineage: Eukaryota; Metazoa; Arthropoda; Insecta; Lepidoptera; Papilionidae.